Non-coding RNA from Vicugna pacos (alpaca), 265 nucleotides. NCBI's taxonomy places the organism in Eukaryota, Metazoa, Chordata, Mammalia, Artiodactyla, Camelidae. The record is from RefSeq and is a predicted model, not a curated record.
CCCCUCAGGCCCGCUCUAAGAGCCGAAGCCGGGCCUCGGCGCAUGCCUCAAGCGGACGCUGAGCGCGCGGCCGGCCUCGGGCGGGCUGGGCAGCCCGGAGCUCGGCUGUCGGCCUUUAGAAACUCAUCUUCACUGCCAGAUGUUGAUGUUCUUCAAGAAUCAGUCCCUUGGAGGUGAAUCAGCAAAAAUGGUGAAUACAGAACUCCCAAGGACCCAUCCCUUCAUAUAAACAGCAAAUAAACUAGCACAACCUGUCAGAAUCAAA